AGACCAAGGAGAGCUGCAGAACAA
RNAcentral lists this non-coding RNA (24 nucleotides) under Drosophila melanogaster (fruit fly). The record is from RNAcentral. Lineage: Eukaryota; Metazoa; Arthropoda; Insecta; Diptera; Drosophilidae.